Molecule: long non-coding RNA, 393 nt
Organism: Pygocentrus nattereri (red-bellied piranha)
Lineage: Eukaryota; Metazoa; Chordata; Actinopteri; Characiformes; Serrasalmidae
Source: Ensembl
AUGAAGACCUCUUUGCUCCUUCUUCUCACCAUCUCAAUGGUUUAUUCAGCCAAAGGAAAAACUACACAACAAACAAUCCUAAGAGAAAUCAUGGCUCACGUGGAUGGCAUCCGUACACAAAAGGCUCAUGACCUGUGGAUAGAAGAUGUAGUGACUCUACGAAACUGCACGCGGAUGACCCUCUGCACAGCAGCGAAAGCUCUGGAAAAAUUCACAGCAGAGGACUUGGGACUGCAGGAAGCUGAGUGGAAACUGCCUCGGCUGCUGUACGCCUUCACACAAUUGCAGCACAACUGCCCAAAACCUGGAGACGUCUCUUCAGUUCCACUUUCCCAGCUGCUGCAGGCCAUACACAGCUGUGCCAAGAAGCAGUUCUCUUUACUAGCUCACUAA